GGACGAAAAGACCCCGUGAACCUUUACUAUAGCUUAGUAUUGGCUUUGGAUAAGUAAUGUGUAGGAUAGGUGGGAGACUUUGAAGUGGCGUCGCUAGGCGUUGUGGAGUCAUUGUUGAAAUACCACCCUUUGCUUAUCUAGAGUCUAACUUUCACUGAAAGGACAGUGCUUGGUGGGUAGUUUGACUGGGGUGGUCGCCUCCAAAAGAGUAACGGAGGCUUCUAAAGGUUCCCUCAGCACGCUUGGUAACCGUGCGUAGAGUGCAAUGGCAUAAGGGAGCUUGACUGAGAGACAUACAGGUCGAUCAGGUACGAAAGUAGAGCAUAGUGAUCCGGUGGUUCCGUAUGGAAGGGCCAUCGCUCAAAGGAUAAAAGGUACUCCGGGGAUAACAGGCUGAUCUCCCCCAAGAGUUCACAUCGACGGGGAGGUUUGGCACCUCGAUGUCGGCUCGUCGCAUCCUGGGGCGGUAGUACGUCCCAAGGGUUGGGCUGUUCGCCCAUAAAAGCGGCACGCGAGCUGGGUUCAGAACGUCGUGAGACAGUUCGGUCCAUAUCCGGUGUAGGCGUUAGAAUAUUGAGAGGAUCUUUCUUUAGUACGAGAGGACCGAGAAGGACGUACCGCUAGUGUACCAGUUAUCAUGCCAAUGGUAAACGCUGGGUAGCUAUGUACGGAAAGGAUAACCACUGAAAGCAUCUAAGUGGGAAGCCCACCUCAAGAUGAGUAUUCUCAUUGUGAAAACAAGUAAGGUCACGGGAAGACUACCCGUUGAUAGGCAUCAAGUGUAAGUGCAGCAAUGUAUUCAGCUGAGAUGUACUAACAGACCGAGGACUUG
This 832-nucleotide ribosomal RNA is filed under the name Heterosigma akashiwo. RNAcentral's name for it is "partial Bacterial large subunit ribosomal RNA". It matches the Rfam family "Bacterial large subunit ribosomal RNA", at positions 2078 to 2925 of the family's 2925-position model. The record is from RNAcentral. Lineage: Eukaryota; Raphidophyceae; Chattonellales; Chattonellaceae.